Molecule: long non-coding RNA, 949 nt
Organism: Ostrea edulis (European flat oyster)
Lineage: Eukaryota; Metazoa; Mollusca; Bivalvia; Ostreida; Ostreidae
Exons: 2
Source: RefSeq, a predicted model, not a curated record
AUUACGGAAAGUCAACAAGAGGGGUUACCAUGACAACCGUAGCGUCACAAUUUCCGUGAUAACCAUAUAUGAUACUUUCAUAAUGAAUUGCAGAUACUGUCAACUACAAAAUAUGUAAAAAUAAAAAAAAUUCAUAGAUUCAUUAAUUUUCAAUGACCCAUGCAAUCACUACCUUAAUAUUGAGAUGUUACUAGGUGUUUAGCGCAAAGAAAUUUCAUUCAAAAUAUAUAUUUUUAAAUGAAUCAUAAUCUACCGUACUUAACGGAAUUAUGAUUACCACUCGGGACACAGAGUUACGUACAUGCUUAGCUCGGUCCAACGGUUACACCGUAUACAUAUUAUCACAGCUACAUACGGAAAAAAAACAUAUAAAGCCCGAAUUUCUGAAAUAUCUGCAAGAUAAGAAAGUUGGAAAAAAAGUAUAAGGAGUUGGAGAGGGAUGUUACACGUUUAAAGAAGAAGAUGAAGGAUUCCAGUGAUGAUCAGGGCUCCUCAACCAGCAGUGAAUCGACCACGAUAAAUCCAGGACCCAAUUCAGAUGAACUUCUGAAAGGAGUGUCGCAUUUAUCAACAAGUGAUCUGGCGGUCGUCCUCAGGACAUUAGUACAUAAAGUUUUUACUACAGAAGAAGUUCUCGGCUGCUCCAGGACAGGCAAAAAAAACAGUAAAUUCUGGGGAAACCCCCAGACCAGCAUUAAAUAAAGAUAAGUUUGAGGCUCUUCAAACAGCAGUUAUGAAAAAAUGUCAAAUAAGUAUCGAUGUAUUUAAGAAAAAAUUUGAUAAUUUUUUAAAAAUGGAAAGGAGGAAGAAUCGAACCUAUCCAGCUGUUCUUAAUCAGUAAGCUUGUAUCCUUGAUAAGAUGCGUCUCGGUCUAGAUUUGUAUGACACUAAGUUAUCAGUACGUGUUAUAUUUGACUUCAAUACAGUUAAUAAAACUUUGACAAUUUUA